This is an RNA transcript of Myotis daubentonii (Daubenton's bat), 1373 nucleotides long. It is a transcript of the gene named transmembrane protein 238, with no coding region annotated. The record is from RefSeq and is a predicted model, not a curated record. NCBI's taxonomy places the organism in Eukaryota, Metazoa, Chordata, Mammalia, Chiroptera, Vespertilionidae.
CAGGGGACCGGCCAUGCGUGAGCCCGCGUCCCACAGCUCCUUGGGGUUGAGGGCCUGGUCUGAGCCUUGCUUUUGACCCCACCUGACCUCACCGUGCGUGCACGGGGGGCGCCUGGAGGUGGGCGGAGCAGAACAGGGCCCAGGCUUCUCCCGCGCCCUGCCCUGCCCUGCCCUGCCCUGCGCUGGCUACAUUACAGCGUCCUCAAUGUUGACCAUGUGUUGCUUCUGCCUCUUGGGGUGCAGGGGCCCCGGGCCCCCCUAAUGCCUCAGCCCCAGGCCCUGCACGGAAACCCCGGCCAGGCCCGGCCCGCAGCCGCCCAGCUCAGAUGACCGGAUGGCUUGCGGGGCACACCUGGCGCCGUCCCCAACCCCGCCCCUGGCCGGGCGGUACCCGGAAAACUGUCCGCCGGAGCCAGCGCGGCGAAGCAUGGCCAUGGCGGCGGCGCCGGCCGUGUGCGUCUCGCAGGGCCCCCCGCCCGGGGCCGCGUCCCCGCCGGCCGCCGCGCCCGCGCCCUCGUCGGGCCUGGGCCGCUGCCGCGUGGCGCUGCUGCUGGCCGUGGCGCUGGACGUGGCGGGCAUGGCGGCGCUGCUGACCGGCGUGUUCGCGCAGCUGCAGGUGCGCGGCCGCGACUUCGGCGACCUGCUCAUCUACUCGGGCGCGCUGCUCGUCUUCAUGAGCCUGCUGGGCUGGAUCCUCUGGUACACGGGCAACAUCGAGAUCUCCCGCCAGGAGCUCGAGCGCGACUACGGCCUGCGGCCCUCGGCGCUCGCCCGCCUGGCGCGCAAGCUGUCCCGCCGCUGGUCGGCGCCCGCCUCCUCCUCCGCCGGCCAGCGCGCCGCGCCCGGAGCCCGGGGAGCCUGCCGCGCCCCGCGCGCGCCCCAGCCCGGCGCCGGCUCCCGCCGCGUGCGCUUGCAGCUCGCCACGCUCGAGGCCGCGCCCGGGGCGCCGGGCACCGGCAGCUUGUGAGCCCGAGCCUGCACUCCUGUCCCCGAAGACCUGCCGUGGGUCCCCGUCGCCCUCUGGUGACACCCACUCCAGUCACAGACACGUGGGCCCGCUCUGUCUCUGCGCCACAUCUCCUGCCUUCUCUGUGGUCAUGACAACAUCCCUCAGACCACGACAGCCGGGCUCUCACGCCCGUUGGCGUCUGGCCCUGCUCUCCCUGCCGCAGGACUGGCCCUGCUCCACAGAACACUUCCCAUGCGUCCUUUAAGGUCCAACUCAACCUCGCUGCCUUUCCCUGGGUCUUCAUAUUACAAAGCCAAGGACGCACCUGAGAGGACCCGACUGGGAUGCCGCCGCCCCCACAUCACCUGGCCACCGGGAUGCCGCCCUGCGCUCCUUUGUCACCCCCAUAAAUGACUGCUUCCUA